GAUUAAGAACGCAGCGAAAUGCGAUAAGUAAUGUGAAUUGCAGAAUUCAGUGAAUCAUCGAAUCUUUGAACGCACCUUGCACUCCUUGGUAUUCCGAGGAGUAUGCCUGUUUGAGUGUCAUUAAAUCAUCAAUCUAACUUCAUUUUGUGAGGUUGGCUUGGAUUUGGAGACUGUUGAACCUCUCUCUUGAGAUUUGACUUCUCUUGAAUGCAUUAGUUGGAUUGAAUUGCAACGCUAUUUGUGGUGUGAUAAUAUCUUCACUGCAUAGUUGUAAUGAAGUCUGGCUUCUAACAGUCCUUCAUUGGACAAUCUUGACCAUCUGACCUCAAAUCAGGUAGGACUACCCGCUGAACUUAAGCAUAUCAAUAAGCGGAGGA
RNAcentral lists this unclassified non-coding RNA (377 nucleotides) under soil metagenome. RNAcentral's name for it is "partial contains 5.8S ribosomal RNA, internal transcribed spacer 2, and large subunit ribosomal RNA". The stretch from base 1 to 120 matches the Rfam family "5.8S ribosomal RNA", at positions 35 to 154 of the family's 154-position model. The record is from RNAcentral.